GGGGUCCUUUAUAUAGAUGGAGAGCAUAACUAAUCGACAGCGAUGUCUGUAACCGCCUGAUAGUGGGCCAUUUAGAGCCACACAGAGUUUGUUGCAGAGAGUAGUAGCAUCAAUAGGCCAUUCAGAGCCACGUGGAGUUUGUUACGAAGAGUGGAGUGGUAUCCAUUGUUGCGACUUGCCAGAGAGUGACGGGGCCACAUGAAAUCCAUUACAGAGAGUGGAGUGGGGUAGUGGCCA
RNAcentral lists this long non-coding RNA (237 nucleotides) under Elaeis guineensis (African oil palm). RNAcentral describes it as "long non-coding RNA (EGUI_LNC077778)". The record is from RNAcentral. Lineage: Eukaryota; Viridiplantae; Streptophyta; Magnoliopsida; Arecales; Arecaceae.